Long non-coding RNA from Nothoprocta perdicaria, 846 nucleotides. RefSeq lists it as uncharacterized. NCBI's taxonomy places the organism in Eukaryota, Metazoa, Chordata, Aves, Tinamiformes, Tinamidae. The record is from RefSeq and is a predicted model, not a curated record. The transcript has 2 exons.
GACUCCAGCCGAGACCGACGUUGUCUCCGCGGGGACGCCCGCGAGCUCGGGGCCUCUCGGCCGCCUCUCGUCCAUCGGGGGGACGAUGGGYCUCGCUAUCCUGCCGACAAGUCUCCUCUCGUGAGUAACUGCUACGUGGGCGCCUCGUUUCGCAGGGCACCAGCCUACAUAGUUUACAACCGAAGGAGAAUGUGUGGGUCACCUUAGCUACUGUGACUGGACAGAAACGUACCUGCCUUGGUGCGGUCACMUCUUCCAACCCCUCCUCUACAUGCCUGGAAUCAAUCCACCCUGUGGCAGGGAAAGGCCAUGCCAAGGCCACCAGAACAUCUCAAGAAUGAGUCCACCGUAAGAAAGAAGCAGGAAUUCCUGUGGCAGCGAGACUCUGGCAAAGUCCCUCCAAGCCAGGAAGGGCUUGGAGACGGGCAUUUCUGGAACUGUCAAAGCUGAACAACAGAUUGAUGACAACUGGGAUCCAUUUGGACAAUGGAAAUGGGGAUGGUCUUGGUUACAAAAGCUGUUACUAGAACUAUUAUUCUUGUUUAUAGUACUCAUUUGUAUCAUAGGUUGUAUUCCUUGUGUAAUGGCGUUAAUAGACAGAAUGACUGAAACUGCCAUGAGGACGGUACCUGUCCGGGUGUUAUGGUGUAGUCAGAUGACCUCUACAGAUCAYGUGGUGGAAGGUAAAAGAGGAGGAAAGAUUCAUAACCCUCUUAAUGAUCUGUAGAGGCCAUGAGACCAUGAAGAAGACUAUGAAGAGACUAUGUGAAGCUGAGAACAAACCUGUUAUCCARUUGUAGGGAGUUUCGAAGGCGGCUACACUAAUGCAAAAACAGGGACCUCAUC